AGCUCCAAUAGCGUAUAUUAAAGUUGUUGCAGUUAAAAAGCUCGUAGUUGGAUCUCGGGUCCAGGCCUGCGGUACAGCUUAGGCUGCUUACUGCUCGUCCUGACCUACCUACCGGUUUUCCCUUGGUGCUCUUAGGUGAGUGUCUUGGGUGGCCGGAACGUUUACUUUGAAAAAAUUAGAGUGCUCAAAGCAGGCUUUCGCCUGAAUAUUAGUGCAUGGAAUAAUUGAAUAGGACCUCGGUUCUAUUUUGUUGGUUUUCGGAACUCGAGGUAAUGAUUAAGAGGGACAGACGGGGGCAUUCGUAUUACGGUGUUAGAGGUGAAAUUCUUGGAUCGCCGUAAGACGAACUACUGCGAAAGCAUUUGCCAAGAAUGUUUUCA
RNAcentral lists this ribosomal RNA (380 nucleotides) under uncultured eukaryote. Its description in RNAcentral is "SSU rRNA". It matches the Rfam family "Eukaryotic small subunit ribosomal RNA", at positions 587 to 972 of the family's 1831-position model. The record is from RNAcentral.